UUUGUAACAGUUUUAUUCUACAUUUUUAAAUAUAAUGUUUAUUUUCUAAACUAUUGGUCGUUUUCUUAAAGAAAACAUAAAUCUUCAAAUUUUUUUGUGCAACAUUUUCAAGGAACAAUUCUUGGAUUCAAAAUUCAAAAAGAAUUUUGAACAAUUCGUAACUUCCUUUCAAAAACAAUAUUUAGUCAUAGUCUUCUUAGUUAUAAAAUACCGAUAAAAAAACCAUAUCUCCUGUUCACGGUUUUAAGUUUGUUCAUCGUGCUCACAUUACUUGGUAACGAUUUU
This 285-nucleotide long non-coding RNA is filed under the name Capsella rubella. RNAcentral describes it as "long non-coding RNA (CRUB_LNC003242)". The record is from RNAcentral. Lineage: Eukaryota; Viridiplantae; Streptophyta; Magnoliopsida; Brassicales; Brassicaceae.